CAGAAAUUCUAAAUGCCUCUGCUUCCUCCUUCCCCUACUGCCCUCCCUCCCAAGCUCCUCUCUGCUCCUCUGGACCCCAAUCAAUUGGGUCUCUGGGCAAAUGAAAUAUUCGAAAUGCAGAAAAUCUGGUGUCCAGUAGAAAACAACUGCAGCUAGAGGGCAAAGUGGAUAGAAGGCUGGACUUGGAGUCAAGGAAAUCUGAGUUCUAAUCCAUCCUCAGGUAUUUACUAGCCUUGCGACCCUGGGUGAGUCACUUACCCCUGCUGGCCUCAGUUUCCUCAUCUAUCAAAGAAAUGGCCAGUAUCUUUGUCAAAAAAACCUCAGAUGGGAUCACGAAGAUGGGACAUGACUGAAACAACUCAACAACAACAACAAUGACAUUGUGCACACCUUAGUCCAGAGAAGCCCAGAAGUAAGUCCAGGAUUCCCAGAACACUGGAUGUUUUUCCACUUGCUACAAGUGUCACAUUGUAGGCUUUGUCUUAUAGUCCCCUACUAAAAACAAUUGUGAAACAGGACUCUGAAGGCUCCUUGCCAGGAGAACAGGCCAGCCUGGCUGGGUGCAGGGAGCAAAGUUCCCCUCCCUUGCUAUCCCAGGGUGUCCCAGUUUGCUGAGCAAGAUGUUGCAGUAGCCCCUAGCUGAGCUCCAGAGCGGAGCUCAUGGGCUGACAGGUGAUUGACAAUUUUCUGGUUUCAAAUUAAACAGAAAACUAAAUUAGCAAAUUAAUUGUUUGACGCGUUUUCCUGGGCCUCUCAUCAGCUGCCACAGGACCCGUAGCCAAUGAAUGAAGGCCUCUUGCCUGGCUGGGAGAGGGGGUUGGGGGCUCGGCAUCAGCUCCUGCUAUCUACCAAGUGUCAGUCAUGUUAAUUUUAAAUUACUUUUGUACAGCUUGGUGUCAAAAUGAUUAAAGCAUGAAGAAGAAAACAGAACCCUAGCAGGGCUGGGCCAUCUCUGACUCUGGCCAUUCCCUCUUGGCCCCUCUCCCCCCCAGGAAUCAUGGAGGCCCCAAACCCUGUGCCCUUCACUGACCUGCCCAGGAUGGAGGGGUGGGGGCUGGGAGAGGGGAGCCAGGAUGGUCACCAUGGCUCCCUUUGCUGCUUCUGUAAUAAUUCAGGCCUCUGAUACUGCAGGGUUUGUAACAGAGCCCCUGAGAUG
This 1156-nucleotide long non-coding RNA is filed under the name Monodelphis domestica (gray short-tailed opossum). RNAcentral describes it as "lncRNA (ENSMODG00000031522.2)". Lineage: Eukaryota; Metazoa; Chordata; Mammalia; Didelphimorphia; Didelphidae. The record is from RNAcentral.